RNAcentral lists this ribosomal RNA (468 nucleotides) under uncultured bacterium. Its description in RNAcentral is "partial 16S ribosomal RNA". It matches the Rfam family "Bacterial small subunit ribosomal RNA", at positions 28 to 507 of the family's 1533-position model. The record is from RNAcentral.
GACGAACGCUGGCGGCGUGCUUAACACAUGCAAGUCGAACGGAAAGGCCCUGCUUUUGUGGGGUGCUCGAGUGGCGAACGGGUGAGUAACACGUGAGUAACCUGCCCUUGACUUUGGGAUAACUUCAGGAAACUGGGGCUAAUAACGGAUAGGAGCUCCUGCUGCAUGGUGGGGGUUGGAAAGUUUCGGCGGGUGGGGAUGGACUCGCGGCUUAUCAGCUUGUUGGUGGGGUAGUGGCUUACCAAGGCUUUGACGGGUAGCCGGCCUGAGAGGGUGACCGGCCACAUUGGGACUGAGAGACGGCCCAGACUCCUACGGGAGGCAGCAGUGGGGAAUAUUGCACAAUGGGCGGAAGUCUGAUGCAGCAACGCCGCGUGCGGGAUGACGGCCUUCGGGGUGGAAACCGCUUUCGCCUGUGACGAAGCGUGAGUGACGGUAAUGGGUAAAGAAGCACCGGCUAACUACGUG